CAGGGCGAAGGGUGGGUACCUCCUUACCAAAGCCUGAUGUAGGUUAUGUGCAGUGUCCACAACAGAUUGUCUGAUGAAAAUAAAGAAGAAAAACUUCUUAAUGGGUUUGGGUCUCGUGGGGUUAGAGCGCCCCCCUGAAGAGGGUGGUGGCGGGGGGUCGAGUUCUCUUGCCCCCACCAAAUUUUUCCCCGUGGUGCUUUGCCAUACCACUCAUACCCGAGAAUAUCCUUCCAUUUCCCACCUUGUCCUAAAAAAAAAAUAAACUCCUCUAAGAGGUGCAAAAGGGAUUUGUGAAUGUCUCUUUUACGGUUAUAGAUCAGCUGGAAGAGCGACUGUUUUGCGCAACGGAGACCUGCGGUGCUAUACCGCAUACCUCCACCAUAUAAAGACAUUUCAGAGUAUUGUGAACACUAUGUUCUGAAGAAUUUUGUUUUUUAACAAUCUGGAACAUUCGAAAUUUUAAAUGAUAUGGCUAAACAUAUCUCUCUCCGUACAACUGAGAUAUGAGUUUUCUGUAUCACAGACUCUCUAAUAAUCUCCGCGCGAAAGAGACUUGAUGAAUCCUACACACCGUCAGGUUGUGAGACUAAGCGACUACGGGUAAUCCGUGGAUACCUUGUCAUCUCCUUUUCCUCCCUU
This 639-nucleotide unclassified non-coding RNA is filed under the name Brenneria goodwinii. Its description in RNAcentral is "partial may contain 16S ribosomal RNA, 16S-23S ribosomal RNA intergenic spacer, and 23S ribosomal RNA". Lineage: Bacteria; Pseudomonadati; Pseudomonadota; Gammaproteobacteria; Enterobacterales; Pectobacteriaceae. RNAcentral also lists the same sequence under 1 other name. The record is from RNAcentral.